CGAGCGAAGGAGAUCAGUCUAGUGCCAGGCACACAAAGGUGAGGUAGACAGCGCCAGGAAUUUCGACAUGGCGUGAAAGGAGCAAGGGCACAGUAACAACUAUUUCGUUUUUUUAUUCCAAGUGACUCGUUUUCUGAAAUGACAAGAGAGUCCAUUUUUCGUGGGAAGUAAAAGUGAAAAAUGUUUCAAUAAACUGUGAAAAGAAGAGGAUACUCUUUUUUUUAGUUGUGUUUUGUUUUGUUUUUUGCUUUUUUCAACUUGCUUGUGCUACAAAGAAAGCAAAAACGCUAUUGAAACGUGUUUAUUUUGCAAACUUCUCAUCUAUUCCAACGUCUACCUCAUAUCUGUGAGAUUUUCGAGACGGAAUUGUGUGUGUAUAUAUAUAUAAAAGAGCACUCGUUCUUCAAUUUCGCCAAAGGAACACGAAAACAGCAGAGGAUUCCCUGGAUUUUUUGGGAGGAGGAUUAAAUAAUAGAUGUAUAACAGCCGAGGAGUUGGAUCUUCAAGCCUUGUGGAAAAUCCCCUGUGUUCUCCCUACAGCAGGCCUGUGAGGGUCAGAGAGAGUACGACGUAUUGAUUGAUUGAUCGAUUUCUUCAGGACAUCAAAGCAUCCAGAGAGCCAGCCGAUGACUUUAAUUGCCCACUGACCGCUUCUAAUCCUUUUGUGACAAAAUUCACACAUUUUCGCUCUCGUCUUCUUUCCUUCCCGGCAGUGUGAGCCCUCGUCUCUCCUAGACGUUUGGGCCUCCACACAGUCUCGUCUAUGGCAGCGAAAUCUUCGCCUUGUUUUCUCAUCCACAUCGUCGUUGUCGUCUGUCUUCUCUCACACUUUGCUGAAGGAACAUGUAAUUGCAACACAGACUGUGCUUCGGCGUGUGCUGCAGGCUACUACUUCGACAGUGGCAAUUGUCAGAUAUGUCCUCAAGGCUCCUAACGCACACCGUUAUUUUUUCCUUACUCACUUUAAAGACUUAAGGCAAACGUUGUAUACCCCGGCAAAAUAAAAUCAUCACUGAACACUGUCUGUUGACUACAGGUUAGGGUUUGGGUAAAGAUUAAAGCUAGAGUUGUGGAUUAUAGAAGGUUUAUAUUUCGUCAAUAGAAACAGCUGCUAGGUUUGUCCUGCGGGAGAUCGACAAGUAGACUGGUGUCCUUAUCAAGCCGGAUUUAUUAGCUCUCCUUAUAAUACUCUAGAUUUAUACAUUGGAAAGGUUUUGUAAAGCGUUUCCUACAGGCUAAAAGAAAUGGAAACAGGUGUCGUGGGUAAAGCUCUAAAGAGGAGUCAAAAUGGCUACCAAAGUCCGAAUAAAAGUGUAGGGAAUGAUGGGGAAUAUUUCUGCUAGGACGAUACUGCGGCUUGCAAUGCACAAUCAAAAUACUCCAAGUGAUCAAGUUUAAAAUGUUAUCUGCUGCACAGGAAAAGUUUCGACUAAAAUGGAUACUAUAUUAUGUGUGAGAAACAUGCUUGCCAGUUAAAAGGAAGCAUAGAGUAAAGAUAAA
Molecule: long non-coding RNA, 1500 nt
Organism: Aplysia californica (California sea hare)
Lineage: Eukaryota; Metazoa; Mollusca; Gastropoda; Aplysiida; Aplysiidae
Exons: 3
Source: RefSeq, a predicted model, not a curated record